RNAcentral lists this ribosomal RNA (438 nucleotides) under uncultured bacterium. RNAcentral's name for it is "partial 16S ribosomal RNA". It matches the Rfam family "Bacterial small subunit ribosomal RNA", at positions 339 to 795 of the family's 1533-position model. The record is from RNAcentral.
CUACGGGCCGCUCCAGUGAGGAAUAUUGCACAAUGGGGUGAACCCUGAUGCAGCAACGCCGCGUGGAGGAUGACGUAUUUCGGUGUGUAAACUCCUUUUAUAUGUCAAGAAAAUGACGGUAGCAUAUGAAUAAGCACCGGCUAACUCCGUGCCAGCAGCCGCGGUAAUACGGAGGGUGCAAGCGUUACUCGGAAUCACUGGGCGUAAAGGACGCGUAGGCGGGUUGGAAAGUCAGGUGUGAAAUCCUACGGCUUAACUGUAGAACUGCACUUGAAACUUCUAAUCUAGAGUAUGGGAGGGGAGGUGGAAUUAGUGGUGUAGGGGUAAAAUCCGUAGAUAUCACUAGGAAUACCUAAAGCGAAGGCGAUCUCCUGGAACAUUACUGACGCUAAGGCGUGAAAGCGUGGGGAGCAAACAGGAUUAGAUACCCCCGUAGUC